GACGAACGCUGGCGGCGUGCUUAACACAUGCAAGUCGAACGGAAAGGCCCUGCUUUUGUGGGGUGCUCGAGUGGCGAACGGGUGAGUAACACGUGAGUAACCUGCCCUUGACUUUGGGAUAACUUCAGGAAACUGGGGCUAAUACCGGAUAGGAGCUCCUGCUGCAUGGUGGGGGUUGGAAAGUUUCGGCGGUUGGGGAUGGACUCGCGGCUUAUCAGCUUGUUUGUGGGGUAGUGGCUUACCAAGGCUUUGACGGGUAGCCCGCCUGGGAGGGUGACCGGCCACCUGGGGACUAAGAGACGGCCCAGACGGCUACCGGAGGCAAUAGGGGGGAAUAUUGCCCAAUGGGGCGAAGCCAGAUGCAGCAACGCCGCGUGCGGGAAGACCGGCUUCGGGUGGUAAACCGCUUUCGCCUGUGACGAGCCGGGAGUGACGGUAAUGGGUAAAGAAGCACCGGCUAACUACGUG
This 468-nucleotide ribosomal RNA is filed under the name uncultured bacterium. Its description in RNAcentral is "partial 16S ribosomal RNA". It matches the Rfam family "Bacterial small subunit ribosomal RNA", at positions 28 to 507 of the family's 1533-position model. The record is from RNAcentral.